This 431-nucleotide ribosomal RNA is filed under the name uncultured bacterium. Its description in RNAcentral is "partial 16S ribosomal RNA". It matches the Rfam family "Bacterial small subunit ribosomal RNA", at positions 29 to 505 of the family's 1533-position model. The record is from RNAcentral.
AACGAACGCUGGCGGCAUGCCUAACACAUGCAAGUCGAACGAGACCUUCGGGUCUAGUGGCGCACGGGUGCGUAACGCGUGGGAAUCUGCCCUUCGGUUGGGAAUAACUGAGAGAAAUUUCAGCUAAUACCUUAUAAUGUCUUCGGACCAAAGAUUUAUCGCCGAGGGAUGAGCCCGCGUAGGAUUAGGUAGUUGGUGGGGUAAUGGCCUACCAAGCCGACGAUCCUUAGCUGGUCUGAGAGGAUGAUCAGCCACACUGGGACUGAGACACGGCCCAGACUCCUACGGGAGGCAGCAGUGGGGAAUAUUGGACAAUGGGCGAAAGCCUGAUCCAGCAAUGCCGCGUGAGUGAUGAAGGCCUUAGGGUUGUAAAGCUCUUUUACCCGGGAUGAUAAUGACAGUACCGAGAGAAUAAGCUCCGGCUAACUCCG